RNAcentral lists this microRNA precursor (260 nucleotides) under Trypanosoma congolense IL3000. The record is from RNAcentral. Lineage: Eukaryota; Euglenozoa; Kinetoplastea; Trypanosomatida; Trypanosomatidae.
GCAAAACGCCCUUAGGCGGUCGCCAACAGGCUGCAAUUUUUUUGACUCCUUCUGGAGUCUUGCUUCUAUCUCUUUGUUGGGCAUUUCGAUUCUUCCUUCAGUCGAAAAAUUAUUUAUUAUUGCUUUUUAGUUCGCAAAGCAAUAACAAGGAAAAUUUUCAGCUCAAGAAUCGAAAUGUACAUUAACGAAAUAGAAAUGAGACCUCCAAACGAAUCCAAAAAAAAUUGCAGUCUGUGGGCGACCGCCUAAGGGCGGUUUGC